This is a long non-coding RNA of Ixodes scapularis (black-legged tick), 269 nucleotides long. RefSeq lists it as uncharacterized. The transcript has 3 exons. The record is from RefSeq and is a predicted model, not a curated record. Lineage: Eukaryota; Metazoa; Arthropoda; Arachnida; Ixodida; Ixodidae.
UUGGCGUGUUCAGACGUGGUUGGGCCUCUGUUUCGGCCAGUUUCGAGGCGAGAAGUGCAGCGUCUGUGUUUGUUACACGUGUAAUCAUAGCAUUCCCCUGGUUGCGGUGGCUUCGCGGUGCAAUGGCAAAUUCCAAACCUAAAAAGAGGGGUCUGUGGCUGAAGGCGACAUGGCAAAGGGAGGAGAGGAGGAACGUCCUGCGCAAGUGGCAUGCCCCCUACCACCGAAUGGCUGUAGAGGGACAAGCAGCAGCAAGUGCGCACCAGUCG